RNAcentral lists this ribosomal RNA (441 nucleotides) under uncultured bacterium. RNAcentral describes it as "partial 16S ribosomal RNA". It matches the Rfam family "Bacterial small subunit ribosomal RNA", at positions 338 to 795 of the family's 1533-position model. The record is from RNAcentral.
CCUACGGGAGGCAGCAGUGGGGGAUAUUGCACAAUGGGGGGAACCCUGAUGCAGCGACGCCGCGUGGGUGAAGGAGUGCUUCGGCAUGUAAAGCCCUAUCGGCAGGGAAGAAGUAAGACGGUACCUGACUAAGAAGCCCCGGCUAACUACGUGCCAGCAGCCGCGGUAAUACGUAGGGGGCGAGCGUUAUCCGGAUUCACUGGGUGUAAAGGGAGCGUAGACGGCCAUGCAAGCCAGGGGUGAAAGCCCGGGGCCCAACCCCGGGACUGCCCUUGGAACUGUGCGGCUAGAGUGCGGGAGGGGCAGGCGGAAUGCCUGGUGUAGCGGUGAAAUGCGUAGAUAUCAGGAGGAACACCGGCGGCGAAGGCGGCCUGCUGGACCGCGACUGACGUUGAGGCUCGAAAGCGUGGGGAGCGAACAGGAUUAGAUACCCGUGUAGUC